This 371-nucleotide ribosomal RNA is filed under the name uncultured bacterium. Its description in RNAcentral is "bacterial SSU rRNA". It matches the Rfam family "Bacterial small subunit ribosomal RNA", at positions 28 to 400 of the family's 1533-position model. The record is from RNAcentral.
GACGAACGCUGGCGGCGUGCUUAACACAUGCAAGUCGAGCGGUAAGGCCCUUUCGGGGGUACACGAGCGGCGAACGGGUGAGUAACACGUGGGUGACCUGCCCUUAGCUCUGGGAUAAGCCUGGGAAACUGGGUCUAAUACCGGAUAUGACUCCAUAACGCAUGUUGUGGGGUGGAAAGCCUUGUGCGGCUAGGGAUGGGCCCGCGGCCUAUCAGCUUGCUGGUGGGGUGANGGCCUACCAAGGCGACGACGGGUAGCCGGCCUGAGAGGGCGACCGGCCACACUGGGACUGAGACACGGCCCAGACUCCUACGGGAGGCAGCAGUGGGGAAUCUUGCGCAAUGGGCGAAAGCCUGACGCAGCGACGCCGC